GUCCCUGUGGUUCAAUGGAUAGAACAGAGGCCUCCGGAGCCUCAGAUGUAGGUUCGAUUCCUACCAGGGGCACCA
This 75-nucleotide transfer RNA is filed under the name Candidatus Nealsonbacteria bacterium CG08_land_8_20_14_0_20_43_11. RNAcentral describes it as "tRNA-Arg". It matches the Rfam family "tRNA". From Rfam's summary of the family: Transfer RNA (tRNA) molecules are approximately 80 nucleotides in length. Their secondary structure includes four short double-helical elements and three loops (D, anti-codon, and T loops). Lineage: Bacteria; Candidatus Nealsoniibacteriota. The record is from RNAcentral.